Molecule: ribosomal RNA, 253 nt
Filed under: uncultured bacterium
Lineage: Bacteria
Description: partial 16S ribosomal RNA
Rfam family: Bacterial small subunit ribosomal RNA
Source: RNAcentral
UACAGAGGAGCCAAGCGUUGUCCGGAUUGACUGGGCGUAAAGCGCACGCAGGCGGAUGCGCGCGUGGGGUGUGAAAUCUGGCCGCUUAACGGCCAGGCGCCAUCCCAUACGGCGUGUCUGGAGGGCUGCAGAGGUCGAUGGAAUUGCCGGUGUAGUGGUGAAAUGCGUAGAGAUCGGCAGGAACACCCAGGGGGAAACCAGUGGACUGGCACGGUGCUGACGCUCAGGUGCGAAAGCGUGGGGAGCGAACCGG